Molecule: ribosomal RNA, 253 nt
Filed under: uncultured bacterium
Lineage: Bacteria
Description: partial 16S ribosomal RNA
Rfam family: Bacterial small subunit ribosomal RNA
Source: RNAcentral
UACGUAGGGUCCAAGCGUUAAUCGGAAUUACUGGGCGUAAAGCGUGCGCAGGUGGCUUGUUAAGAUCGAUGUGAAAUCCCCGGGCUCAACCUGGGAACUGCAUUGAUGACUGGCUCGCUAGAGUACGGCAGAGGGGGGUGGAAUUCCACGUGUAGCAGUGAAAUGCGUAGAGAUGUGGAGGAACACCGAUGGCGAAGGCAACCCCCUGGGCUGAUACUGACACUCAUGCACGAAAGCGUGGGGAGCAAACAGG